UCUGGUUGAUCCUGCCAGUAGUCAUAUGCUUGUCUCAAAGAUUAAGCCAUGCAUGUCUAAGUAUAAAUAGUAUACAGUGAAACUGCGAAUGGCUCAUUAAAACAGUUAUAGUUUAUUUGAUAAUUGACAAUUACAUGGAUAACCGUGGUAAUUCUAGAGCUAAUACAUGCUUAAACGCCCGACUUUAUGGAAGGGUGGUAUUUAUUAGACUGAAGCCAAUAUUCCUUGUGUCUAUUGCGGUGAUUCAUAAUAACUGAUCGAAUCUCUUUUUGAGAUAAAUCAUUCAAGUUUCUGCCCUAUCAGCUUUCGAUGGUAGUGUAUUGGACUACCAUGGCAGUAACGGGUAACGAAGAAUUAGGGUUCGAUUUCGGAGAGGGAGCAUGAGAAACGGCUACCACAUCUAAGGAAGGCAGCAGGCGCGUAAAUUACCCAAUCCUGACUCAGGGAGGUAGUGACAAGAAAUAGCAAACCGGGAACCUCAUGGUUUCACGGUAUUGCAAUGAGAACAAUUUAAAACCCUUAGCGAGAAUCAAGUGGAGGACAAGUCUGGUGCCAGCACCCGCGGUAAUUCCAGCUCCACUAGCGUAUAUUAAAGUUGUUGCAGUUAAAAAGCUCGUAGUUGAACCUCUGUCUGGGGCUAGUUUUGGCUUUGGUCAGGCUAGUUCUAGGCAUCCGCCUACAAGACUUAGAGGGCAUUCAGUUGUUCACUAGGAGGAGUAGGCAUUUUACUUUGAAAAAAUUAGAGUGUUUAAGGCAGGCAAUCGCCCGCAUAUAUUAGCAUGGAAUAAUAGAAUAGGACACUUUUCCAUUUCGUUGGUUAUUGGAAUCGUGUAAUGAUUAAUAGGGACAGUUGUGGGCAUUUGUAUUUAAUUGUCAGAGGUGAAAUUCUUGGAUUUAUUAAAGACAAACUAACGCGAAAGCAUUUGCCAAGGAUGUUUUCAUUAAUCAAGAACGAAAGUUAGGGGAUCAAAGACGAUCAGAUACCGUCCUAGUCUUAACUAUAAACUAUUCCGACUCAAUGUUUGACUGGCUUAUAUAACCAGUUGAGCGUUGUAUGAGAAAUCAAAGUCUUUAGGUUCUGGGGGGAGUAUGGUUGCAAAGCUGAAACUUAAAGGAAUUGACGGAAGAGCACAACCAGGAGUGGAUUCUGCGGCUUAAUUUGACUCAACACGGGGAAACUUACCAGGUUAAAACAAUAGUGGGAUUGACAGUUUGAGAGCGCUUUCUUGAUUGGUUGGGUGGUGGUGCAUGGCCGUUCUUAGUUGGUGGAGUGAUUUGUCUGCUUAAUUGCGUUAACGAACGAGACCUUAACCUGCUUACUAGACU
RNAcentral lists this ribosomal RNA (1326 nucleotides) under metagenome. RNAcentral describes it as "SSU rRNA". It matches the Rfam family "Eukaryotic small subunit ribosomal RNA", at positions 1 to 1361 of the family's 1831-position model. The record is from RNAcentral.